CACAAGUUUGGGAGUGAGAUUCAUCCAAAAAUGUAUCCACAUCCAUUUGGAUGACAUGUCUGGGGGCUAGAGUCUGGGGAGUGAGAGACACUGGGCCUCUCUAUGCUGCUCUCAGUCCUGCCCUUCUGAGCUCUUGGACAGUGUCACUUGGGAACAGUCCCAGUUCCUGGCUGCAGGGAGGCUGGGCCCGCAGGAGUGACAGGAACCUCCUGGGGUGCACUCGGGGUUUGCGCUCCUCCCGGCCCGUUAGGGGCUC
RNAcentral lists this long non-coding RNA (256 nucleotides) under Homo sapiens (human). Its description in RNAcentral is "non-protein coding lnc-PLEC-5:1". The record is from RNAcentral. Lineage: Eukaryota; Metazoa; Chordata; Mammalia; Primates; Hominidae.